UACAGAGGGUGCGAGCGUUAAUCGGAAUUACUGGGCGUAAAGCGUGCGUAGACGGUUAUGUAAGUCAGGUGUGAAAGCCCCGGGCUCAACCUGGGAAUUGCAUUUGAGACUGCAUAGCUAGGGUGCGGAAGAGGGAAGCGGAAUUUCCGGUGUAGCGGUGAAAUGCGUAGAUAUCGGAAGGAACAUCAGUGGCGAAAGCGGCUUCCUGGUCCAGCACCGACGUUCAGGCACGAAAGCGUGGGGAGCAAACAGG
Molecule: ribosomal RNA, 253 nt
Filed under: uncultured bacterium
Lineage: Bacteria
Description: partial 16S ribosomal RNA
Rfam family: Bacterial small subunit ribosomal RNA
Source: RNAcentral